Molecule: transfer RNA, 72 nt
Filed under: Ictidomys tridecemlineatus (thirteen-lined ground squirrel)
Lineage: Eukaryota; Metazoa; Chordata; Mammalia; Rodentia; Sciuridae
Description: Spermophilus tridecemlineatus (thirteen-lined ground squirrel) tRNA
Rfam family: tRNA
About the family: Transfer RNA (tRNA) molecules are approximately 80 nucleotides in length. Their secondary structure includes four short double-helical elements and three loops (D, anti-codon, and T loops).
Source: Rfam by way of RNAcentral
GGAGGUGUGGCUCAGUGGUGGAGCACUUGCCUGGCAUGUAUGAGGCACUGGGUUCAAUCUUCAGCACCACAU